GGGGAUAACUGGUUUAGACAGCAGGUAGAAUAGGUGUGUAAGCAUACCGAGUAUGGAUUCCGCUCGUUAAUCGGGUCCGAGACCAUUAACUGGCAACAACACUGUAGCUCUCGCUGCUUGAUCUGAAGCAUAGUAGGAUCGCUUAUUUUCCCUACAAGGUGGGGAAACGAGACAUCGCUCCAAGCCAAUGCCAUGAGGCUGAAUGGGUAUAGCGGUGCAGAAAUAUCAGGGCUGGCGCUUGCGGGCUGCGACGCAAGGGUGAGAUUUAGCAGAUAAGCCGGUGGUUGGUGGCUUGGGUCUUGCCGCCGGUCGAAAACGAAGGCCAAGAUAAGUAUGUAGAAAGCGCAUUGAUUCCUUGUUUGGACGCGGGUUCGAAUCCCGCUAUCUCCAC
This 391-nucleotide small RNA is filed under the name bovine gut metagenome. RNAcentral describes it as "transfer-messenger RNA". It matches the Rfam family "transfer-messenger RNA". Rfam says of the family: Bacterial tmRNA, also known as 10Sa RNA or SsrA, is named for its dual tRNA and mRNA-like properties. Its role is to liberate the mRNA from a stalled ribosome. The record is from RNAcentral.